This 429-nucleotide ribosomal RNA is filed under the name Bacteroidota bacterium. Its description in RNAcentral is "Bacteroidetes bacterium partial 16S ribosomal RNA". It matches the Rfam family "Bacterial small subunit ribosomal RNA", at positions 355 to 776 of the family's 1533-position model. The record is from RNAcentral. Lineage: Bacteria; Pseudomonadati; Bacteroidota.
UAGGGAAUCUUCCGCAAUGGACGCAAGUCUGACGGAGCAACGCCGCGUGAGUGAAGAAGGAUUUCGGUUCGUAAAACUCUGUUGUUAGAGAAGAACAGCGCAUAGAGUAACUGUUAUGCGUGUGACGGUAUCUAACCAGAAAGCCACGGCUAACUACGUGCCAGCAGCCGCGGUAAUACGUAGGUGGCAAGCGUUGUCCGGAUUUAUUGGGCGUAAAGCGAGCGCAGGCGGUCAAUUAAGUCUGAUGUGAAAGCCCCCGGCUCAACCGGUGAGGGUCAUUGGAAACUGGUUGACUUGAGUGCAGAAGAGGAGAGUGGAAUUCCAUGUGUAGCGGUGAAAGGCGUAGAUUUAUGGAGGAACACCAGUGGCGAAGGCGACUCUCUGGUCUGUAACUGACGCUGAGGUUCGAAAGCGUGGGUAGCAAACAGG